This 420-nucleotide ribosomal RNA is filed under the name uncultured bacterium. Its description in RNAcentral is "partial 16S ribosomal RNA". It matches the Rfam family "Bacterial small subunit ribosomal RNA", at positions 360 to 772 of the family's 1533-position model. The record is from RNAcentral.
AAUAUUGGAUAAUGGGGGCAACCCUGAUCCAGCCAUGCCGCGUGUGUGAAUAAGGUCUUCGGAUUGUAAAGCACAUUAAGUUGGGAGGAAGGGAUUUAGGCUAAUACCCCUAAGCUUUGACGUUACCAACAGUAUAAGCACCGGCCAACACUGUGCUAGCAGCCGUGGUAAUACAGAGGGUGCAAGCGUUAAUCGGAAUUACUGGGCGUAAAGCGCGCGUAGGUGGUUCAGUAAGAUGGGUGUGAAAUCCCCGGGCUUAACCUGGGAACGGCUUUCAUAACUGCUGGGCUAGGGUACGGUAGAGGAUAGUGAAAUUUCCUGUGUAGCGGUGAAAUGCGUAGAUAUAGGAAGGAACAAAAGUGGCGAAGGCGACUACCUGGACUGAUACUGACACUGAGGUACGAAAGCGUGGGGAGCAAA